This is a long non-coding RNA of Patella vulgata (common limpet), 619 nucleotides long. RefSeq lists it as uncharacterized. The record is from RefSeq and is a predicted model, not a curated record. The transcript has 5 exons. Lineage: Eukaryota; Metazoa; Mollusca; Gastropoda; Patellidae.
AGAAGGCUAAGUGUACCAAACUUCUUUCAUUCUUUCAUGACAUACAUCCGAUUCCCAGAACAGGUUGCCUUGACCCUGUGAACUGAUUGGAAUGAAGUGCAGAACCUAGAAUCCUGAAAGGCUACACAAAUCUAAAAACAAUUUGUUCUAGCUAGUAUUGACCAUCUCAAAUUUAUUUGUCAAAAUAUGAAAUUUAUAGCCAUGUUAUUAACUAUUGUCGACAGUUGUCUAUACAAAUUGGUCAUGUCAAAGAAACAGUACUGCCAGAAAUGUAAAAGCAGCACUGCCAGAAAUUGAUGUAAGCUGACUAGGAAAAUGGUUUUUGCUCAGAUUGUUCAGCAGACGACAUUUGAUUUGAUUGACACUUUAAACAGGAAAGAAAUCUACACAUUUUCAAAAUGGUUGAAAAAAUGAAUUUUAAGCCUAGAUCUUUCUCUCUGUACCAACCGAGCUAAUGAAGACCAGCGUACAUCAAGGAUCUGGCAAUAAGUUGGUUUUCCAAGCCAGGGGAGUAUAGUGUUUAAAUGUUUAUGUAUCAUAGGUAAAGCCAUUCAAUUAUUUUGAUCUUGUUGGUUAAACGUUUGAGUUAAUUAUGCAUGGGCCCAUGUUGUCAUUUUGC